AAUACAAAAGCUUUACAAUAGCAGUACACGAGCUGUACAAUGUGCAAAGUGCACCGCCGUUGCACAUGACCUGCAGGUUCACAGCUGUGAACCACAGCACUCACUGCUUUCUUCAUACAUUUGAACUAUCCCUGAAUGACAGGUACGAAUUCAUAGCAAAUCCUAACAUGACCGAUGCAACUCAGCCAGCAACUCUUACCAUGGAAAAGGGUCCAACAGUCUAAUGUCAGAAAAAAUGGACACACAAAUGUUAAGCGCAUGUAACUGUACCACAAUACAGCAACUAUUGUCUUCUUAUUAAAGCGCUCAAUCCUCGCCUCCGCUGGUGUCAUCUUCAAGAACGACGGCAUAUAUCUGCAUAUGAAAGGAUCACAACAAAUCAUUGUUUAGGCAGGAACACAUAGUUGUGAGCAUGUUACGUACAAUGACGGCUGUAGGUGUGACACCGGCAUAACGUGCCUCGAAAUAAGGCAACAAAAAGCAUUUAGUUAAUAGCCAUGGUCUUGCAACCAGAGGCUUCAUACCUCCGAACGGCCGCUACGUGGCCUGCCACGUCCCGUUUGAGCCCGACUCUUGUUCAUAUCCUUACCACCAUCCUUGCGCUUGUCCUGUUCCUUGCGAUUCUCCUGCUCGUGUCCUUGGAAUGUAAAAUGCCAAGGCAUAAUGUCAGUGUAUGCACCUGCAUGAUGGCCAUUUACUGCCGGUGCCGUCUAGUCCCCCUUUUCCUGUUUUCCCCUGCUUGCCUGCGAAUGAAUGGUGCGCCAUUAUAGAGGAAGAAAGACAGAUUCUUGUUAUGAAGAUACUAAUUCAUUGGGCUUUACCUUACACUGUCGUCAUUGGAGGAUCAGCGUGAGUAUAAGAAAUGCAUACACGCUAAACAACAAAUUCAAGAUAAUCUUAUUAGUGCAAUGCGCGCAAUGAAUUACUGCCCUGAGGACACGGGCAGCACUGGGCCUUAUGCCCAACUUACUCCCAACUCCCAACUAACCCUCUUACUUAACGCAAGCUCGCAUAAGUUGUUGCGUCAGAGACAAAUGCCAAAGGAGAAGAUACCCCCUCUAACGGUUGAAAUACUGAACCACCACGGCGCUUCGUGCCUAGCCACAAGAGGGCCAAAGACGUGAGAGCUGCCAGACAGACACGCACACCGAAACUCCCGAAGCCAAACGCCUCGAAAUACCGGUCCGGAAGCCCUUUCAGCCUCCCAGGCAUGUCCCCACCUGCCUCACAGCCACCGACGCAUCUCACGGCGGGGUUCUAAUUGCGUGCGCGUUCGCAUGCGGCAUGUCCCGCCACCUUUCUGGCAUCUAGUUGAUGGUAGGAUGAAUCGUUGUGCGAUGUAGGGCUGCGCCUGAUGCGAUUUCGUUUGUGGAAGCCCCCCCUGAGUGCUGCCAAGCAUGUUAUUAUCUCAUGAGACUGCGUGAAGGUUUACGAACUGAGUACCGUACUGCUACGAAUGUUUCGCGCCACACCAUUCGUUUUGGGCCACGAAGUGUGUCACAGUGGAAAAAGCUCUAUGGGGAAAAUUAUUUGUCGCGAAAAUGUCUGGCACGAAUGUGUUGUACGCC
This 1568-nucleotide long non-coding RNA is filed under the name Volvox carteri. Its description in RNAcentral is "long non-coding RNA (VCAR_LNC001793)". The record is from RNAcentral. Lineage: Eukaryota; Viridiplantae; Chlorophyta; Chlorophyceae; Chlamydomonadales; Volvocaceae.